Molecule: non-coding RNA, 45 nt
Organism: Schistosoma rodhaini
Lineage: Eukaryota; Metazoa; Platyhelminthes; Trematoda; Strigeidida; Schistosomatidae
Source: Rfam
AUCCAGCUGACGAGUCCCAAACAAGACGAAACACACGUCCUGGAU